CUGCUGCCUCCCGUAGGAGUCUGGUCCGUGUCUCAGUACCAGUGUGGGGGACCUUCCUCUCAGAACCCCUACGCAUCGUCGCUACGGUGGGCCGUUACCCCGCCGUCUAGCUAAUGCGCCGCAUGCCCAUCCUCUUCCGAUGAAUCUUUCCUCGAUCUCGGAUGCCCGAAACCGAUAUACGCGGGAUUAGCCUCCCUUUCGGAAGGUUGUCCCCCUGAAGAGGGCAGGUUGCAUACGUGUUACUCACCCGUGCGCCGGUCGCCGG
RNAcentral lists this ribosomal RNA (265 nucleotides) under uncultured bacterium. RNAcentral describes it as "partial 16S ribosomal RNA". The record is from RNAcentral.